CUUGCACCCCGACGCAGUGAGAGAAUAAGAGCGCGAGCUAAUCCAGUCAUCCCUAAAGUUCCACCAACUGAUGAUGAUGUGGUUAUGGAGCUUUUUGAGGAUUUUAAUAGUGGAGAAGCAAACAAUCCAAUGGCUGAAGAUGAUGUUCCAACGGCUGAUGAUGAUGUGGUUAUGUAGCGUUUUGAGGAUUUUAAUAGUGGAGAAGCAAACAAUCCAAUGGCUGAUGAUGAUUUUCCACCGGCUGAUGAUGAUGUGGAUAUGGAGCGUUUUGAGGAUUUUAAUAGUGGAGAAACAAACAAU
This is a long non-coding RNA of Ipomoea nil (Japanese morning glory), 300 nucleotides long. RefSeq lists it as uncharacterized. The record is from RefSeq and is a predicted model, not a curated record. The transcript has 3 exons. NCBI's taxonomy places the organism in Eukaryota, Viridiplantae, Streptophyta, Magnoliopsida, Solanales, Convolvulaceae.